This 317-nucleotide long non-coding RNA is filed under the name Helianthus annuus (common sunflower). RNAcentral describes it as "sRNA HanXRQr2_Chr04g0178351". Lineage: Eukaryota; Viridiplantae; Streptophyta; Magnoliopsida; Asterales; Asteraceae. The record is from RNAcentral.
GUUUUACUAUAAUUUGUUUAAGAUGAUGACACGUUAAUGACUAUUGUUUAUUGAUUUUAUGAGAUAACAUGUACUAUUUAUUUAUGGUAUCAUUUAUUUAUAUAGAUAAAGGAUACUAUAAUCAAAAGUAAGAUUUAUUAUCACUUUCAUGGAAUAGUAUAAAUAUGUUUAAUGGUAUGACACCCGAAGUGGAAUCUCAUUAUAAAGUUAUAAAAAUGGAUACUUGGACAUAUAAUUACUUGUCAAUUGAUGUUAUGUGAGGAGAAAUUUAUUUAUAAUGGAAAAAUCGGAUAAAACAAAUUUUGUUUGUCAAACCU